This 330-nucleotide small RNA is filed under the name Pongo abelii (Sumatran orangutan). RNAcentral describes it as "retained intron". The record is from RNAcentral. Lineage: Eukaryota; Metazoa; Chordata; Mammalia; Primates; Hominidae.
UGCUUUAUACUAAAUUUCUUUUGUUCAAAAUAUUUUUCCUACAUAGAACAAAGAGGUGAAGAAAAAGACUUUAGAGUCAAAGAAAGUAUCUGCAUCUACCUUAAAAAGAGAUGCAGAUGCUUCAAAAGCCGUUGAAAUUGUUACUUCAACUUCUGCUGGUUAGUUAUGCAAUAUCUCCCUCCAUCCCCUCCCGAUAAACCCACAAGACAAAACAUAAGAAAGCCAAAACUGGACAAGCCAAGGCAUCUGUAGCCAAAGUAAACAAAUCUGCAGGGAAAUCAGCAAGUUCUGUAAAAUCUGUGGUAACGGUAGCUGCUAAAGGUAAUAAAG